This is a long non-coding RNA of Lampris incognitus (smalleye Pacific opah), 493 nucleotides long. RefSeq lists it as uncharacterized. The transcript has 3 exons. The record is from RefSeq and is a predicted model, not a curated record. Lineage: Eukaryota; Metazoa; Chordata; Actinopteri; Lampriformes; Lampridae.
UGUAGUUUUAAAGACGUUUUCAAAGUUCACUGUAGAUAGUAGAAAAGUUAGCUACCUUGUUGAAAUAUGGAAAUGUAAUAUUUAUGUUAAUUCAAACUUUGAAAUAUGUAACUAAUGUUAAUUGGGCGAUACCUUGAGGGCGCCCUGCGGGGAGUGUCUGCCACCGCCUCAGACGGCUGAUGAAAGGAUGACAGAGGCUGCCGGGAGGAGGCGGCGCACGACUGAGACAGUGAUGGGCAGUUGGGGGAGGAUACUGCCUUUCAUAAGGAUAUCCGUCAAGCUACCGGAGUCUCCACAGGAAGAAGAGGAGUGAAGAGGAGGGUUGACGCUCGCCUUGGCCGGUCCGGGGGCCGACUGUGUUGCCUCAUGAUGAGCAGCUGCUGCCCGCCAGCCGUCACGUAGCGGAGGUCGGCCGUGGCUGGAGACUGACUGGGGGAAUGUUGCACUGAUGAACAAUACAGAGAGGAUUGUUAUCAUCUCUCUUUUUGACAGG